UGAGUGCGAGCGGCUACGGCCGCGAAGUGGGUGAUGUCAAGCUUCCAAGAAAAGCCCUAUACCCGUUAAGGCAUGAUGGCCUGUACCCGAAACCGACACAGGUGGGGUGGUAGAGAAUACCGAGGGGCGCGAGGUAACUCUCUCUAAGGAACUCGGCAAAAUGGCCCCGUAACUUCGGGAGAAGGGGUGCCACCGCAAGGUGGUCGCAGUGAAGAGGCCCAGGCGACUGUUUACCAAAAACACAGGUCUCCGCUAAGUCGCAAGACGAUGUAUGGGGGCUGACGCCUGCCCAGUGCCGGAAGGUUAAGGAAGCUGGUCAGCGCAAGCGAAGCUGGCGACUGAAGCCCCGGUGAACGGCGGCCCUAACAAUAACGGUCCUAAGGUAGCGAAAUUCCUUGUCGGGUAAGUUCCGACCCGCACGAAAGGCGUAACGAUCUGGGCGCUGUCUCGGAGAGAGGCUCGGCGAAAUAGAAUUGUCUGUGAAGAUGCGGACUACGUGCACCCGGACAGAAAGACCCUAUGAAGCUUUACUGUAGCUUGGUAUUGUGCCCGGGCUCUGAAUGCGCAGGAUAGGUGGGAGGCUUUGAUCCAUGGCUUGCGGGUCAUGGUGAGCCAACGGUGAGAUACCACUCUUUCAGAGCUAGGGUUCUAACGGUCACCCGUCAUCCGGGGACCGGACAGUAUCAGGUGGGCAGUUUGACUGGGGCGGUCGCCUCCUAAAAGGUAACGGAGGCGCGCAAAGGUUUGCUCAGGCUGGUUGGAAAUCAGCCGACGAGUGCAAAAGCAGAAGCAAGCUUGACUGUGAGACCUACAAGUCGAACAGGGACGAAAGUCGGCUUUAGUGAUCCGACGGUUCUGAGUGGAAGGGCCGUCGCUCAACGGAUAAAAGUUACUCUAGGAUAACAGGCUGAUCUCCCCCAAGAGUUCACAUCGACGGGGAGGUUUGGCACCUCGAUGUCGGCUCAUCGCAACCUGGGGCUGAAGUCGGUCCCAAGGGUUGGGCUGUUCGCCCAUUAAAGCGGUACGCGAGCUGGGUUCAGAACGUCGUGAGACAGUUCGGUCCAUAUCCGGUGCACGCGCAGGAACAUUGAGAGGAUUUCUCCCUAGUACGAGAGGACCGGGAGGAACGCACCUCUGGUGUGCCAGUUAUCGUGCCAACGGUAAACGCUGGGUAGCCAUGUGCGGAGUGGAUAACCGCUGAGAGCAUCUAAGUGGGAAGCCCACCUCAAGAUGAGUGUUCCCAUGGCAUAAGCCAGUAAGGUCACGGGAAGAACACCCGUUGAUAGGCUCUACGUGGAAGCCGGGUAACCGGUGAAGCGGAGGAGUACUAAUAGACCGAGGGCUUGACC
RNAcentral lists this ribosomal RNA (1349 nucleotides) under metagenome. Its description in RNAcentral is "bacterial LSU rRNA". It matches the Rfam family "Bacterial large subunit ribosomal RNA", at positions 1564 to 2925 of the family's 2925-position model. The record is from RNAcentral.